GACGAACGCUUGCGGCGUGCUUAACACAUGCAAGUCGAACGGAAAGGCCCUGCUUUUGUGGGGUGCUCGAGUGGCGAACGGGUGAGUAACACGUGAGUAACCUGCCCUUGACUUUGGGAUAACUUCAGGAAACUGGGGCUAAUACCGGAUAGGAGCUCCUGCUGCAUGGUGGGGGUUGGAAAGUUUCGGCGGUUGGGGAUGGACUCGCGGCUUAUCAGCUUGUUGGUGGGGUAGUGGCUUACCAAGGCUUUGACGGGUAGCCGGCCUGAGAGGGUGACCGGCCACAUUGGGACUGAGAUACGGCCCAGACUCCUACGGGAGGCAGCAGUGGGGAAUAUUGCACAAUGGGCGGAAGCCUGAUGCAGCAACGCCGCGUGCGGGAUGACGGCCUUCGGGUUGUAAACCGCUUUCGCCUGUGACGAAGCGUGAGUGACGGUAAUGGGUAAAGAAGCACCGGCUAACUACGUGCCAGCAGCCGCGGUGAUACGUAGGGUGCGAGCGUUGUCCGGAUUUAUUGGGCGUAAAGGGCUCGUAGGUGGUUGAUCGCGUCGGAAGUGUAAUCUUGGGGCUUAACCCUGAGCGUGCUUUCGAUACGGGUUGACUUGAGGAAGGUAGGGGAGAAUGGAAUUCCUGGUGGAGCGGUGGAAUGCGCAGAUAUCAGGAGGAACACCAGUGGCGAAGGCGGUUCUCUGGGCCUUUCCUGACGCUGAGGAGCGAAAGCGUGGGGAGCGAACAGGCUUAGAUACCCUGGUAGUCCACGCUGUAAACGGUGGGUACUAGGUGUGGGGUCCAUUCCACGGGUUCCGUGCCGUAGCUAACGCUUUAAGUACCCCGCCUGGGGAGUACGGCCGCAAGGCUAAAACUCAAAGGAAUUGACGGGGCCCCGCACAAGCGGCGGAGCAUGCGGAUUAAUUCGAUGCAACGCGUAGAACCUUACCUGGGUUUGACAUAGAUCGGGAGUGCUCAGAGAUGGGUGUGCCUCUUUUGGGGUCGGUUCACAGGUGGUGCAUGCCUGUCGUCAGCUCGUGUCGUGAGAUGUUGGGUUAAGUCCCGCAACGAGCGCAACCCUUGUUCACUGUUGCCAGCACGUUAUGGUGGGGACUCAGUGGAGACCGCCGGGGUCAACUCGGAGGAAGGUGGGGAUGACGUCAAGUCAUCAUGCCCCUUAUGUCCAGGGCUUCACGCAUGCUACAAUGGCUGGUACAGAGAGUGGCGAGCCUGUGAGGGUGAGCGAAUCUCGGAAAGCCGGUCUCAGUUCGGAUUGGGGUCUGCAACUCGACCUCAUGAAGUCGGAGUCGCUAGUAAUCGCAGAUCAGCAACGCUGCGGUGAAUACGUUCCCGGG
RNAcentral lists this ribosomal RNA (1343 nucleotides) under uncultured bacterium. RNAcentral's name for it is "16S ribosomal RNA". It matches the Rfam family "Bacterial small subunit ribosomal RNA", at positions 28 to 1378 of the family's 1533-position model. The record is from RNAcentral.